This 268-nucleotide ribosomal RNA is filed under the name uncultured bacterium. RNAcentral's name for it is "partial 16S ribosomal RNA". It matches the Rfam family "Bacterial small subunit ribosomal RNA", at positions 793 to 1055 of the family's 1533-position model. The record is from RNAcentral.
GUCCAUGCCGUAAACGAUGAAUACUAGGUAUUGGGCCCGUCAACGGUCCAGUGCCGCAGCUAACGCGUUAAGUAUUCCGCCUGGGGAGUACGGUCGCAAGACUGAAACUCAAAGGAAUUGACGGGGGCCCCGCACAAGCGGUGGAGCAUGUGGUUUAAUUCGACGCAACGCGAAGAACCUUACCAAGGCUUGACAUGGGAAAGACUGUACGAGAGAUCGUGCUUCUCCAGCAAUGGAGCUUUCCACACAGGUGCUGCAUGGCUGUCGU